Non-coding RNA from Struthio camelus australis, 283 nucleotides. The record is from RefSeq and is a predicted model, not a curated record. NCBI's taxonomy places the organism in Eukaryota, Metazoa, Chordata, Aves, Struthioniformes, Struthionidae.
GCAAUUAACACCGGAGACAGCUGGACUUGUUUGCUCCGGGGCAGAAGAAGCCGAAACACAAUUUUUUCUUUUUUCCUUAAAAAAAGUGGAGUUGGCUGUUCCUUGCCAUAGUGGAUGUUGGGGGAUUUGUGCAGAUCGAGGAGGAUCAGAGUGUUCGAGCUGCAACUUAUUCCUCUGUCGUGUCCCCUGCCCCCCGGUCUCCCUUGUGUCUGCAGGCAGCCAUCCGAGGUGGUGGGAGGAGCUGUCCCAACUGAAGCGGCUCCCAAGGGCACUGGCCGGGGGG